GAAGUAAAGUCGUACAAGGUUUCCGUAGUGAACUGCGGAAGGAUCAUUAAAAAUGUGGUACAUUAUGUACUAUUAAUCAUCUACCCUUUGUGAAUUGUUGUAUGAAUUUUUUAGAUGGGUCUUUCCCUAAGUGAUUGUUAGUAAAUACAAAAGACUUAGGGAAUGACUUUUUAAAAGACUUUUUUUUAAUUAAACUUUUGUAUUCAUUUGUCUAAAUUUAUUUUAUAAUAUAAAACACUUUGACAUGGAUCUCUUGGUUCUCGCAACGAUGAAGAACGCAGCAAAUGCGAUAAGUAGUGAAUUGCAGAAUACGUGAAUCAUCGAAUCUUCGAACGAUAUUGCACUUUUUAGUUUACUAAAAAGUAUGUCUGUUUGAGUAUCAGUAAAUAUUCUCACAACAUAUAUCGUUUGUGGUAUGAUGUUUACAACGAUAAACAAGUUGUUUCACUUAAAUUCUUUUAAUUGAAUUUACCAAUUAAAUUAAAAUUGGAUAAAUUUUCCUUUAACGAGUAACCUAAACAAUUUUAAAUUUUGGAUUAAAAAUCAUCAAGGAAUCUAUAUAAUAACUUGAUUCAAUCAGAUAGGACCGCUGAACUUAAGCAUAUCAAUAAGCGAGGAAAAGAAACUAACAGGAUUCCUUAGUAACGGCGAGUGAAGCGGGAGAGCUCAAAUUUGAAAUCUUCAAGGUUUGACCUUGACGAAUUGUAGUUUAUAGAAGUGUUUCUGUUGGAGUUUGGUAAAAGUUCUUUGGAAUAGACAUCAUAGGGUGAGAAUCCGUAUUGACCAUGACUUCGCUGUGUGAUACACUUUCAAAGAGUCGAUGUUUGGAAUGCAGUCCAAAUGGUGGUAAAUUAUCUAGCAAUAUUGGCGAGAGACCGAUAGCGAACAAGUACGAGGGAAAGAUAAAAGAACUUGAAAAGAGAGUUAACAGUACGUGAAAUUGUCAAAGGAAGCGUUUGACACCAGUGUUGUUUUCUCGAAAAUCAAUUAAUGAGUUUUGUUUUAAGUUAUUGUACUUAUCAGCGAUUCUUAUUUACUUGACUCAUUGAAUGCACUUUCGUUUAACAAGUCAACAUCAAUUUCUUUGGUGGUAAAAGUUUAAAGAAGUGGCUUGGACUUCGGUUCAAGUGUUUAUAGCCUUUUCUAUGCCAUCGGAGAGUUGAGUCUGCAGCGUAGAUCCUUCGGGUUAGAUACUUGUGCUAAGUAUAGUUUUUAUAGACAACUUGUUGACUAUAUUAACCCUGAAUUUACUCGCUUAGGCUAUUACUACGCUUAGGAUGUUG
Molecule: unclassified non-coding RNA, 1283 nt
Filed under: uncultured Neocallimastigales
Lineage: Eukaryota; Fungi; Neocallimastigomycota; Neocallimastigomycetes; Neocallimastigales
Description: partial contains small subunit ribosomal RNA, internal transcribed spacer 1, 5.8S ribosomal RNA, and internal transcribed spacer 2
Rfam family: Eukaryotic large subunit ribosomal RNA (bases 564-1283)
Source: RNAcentral